GUGAUGUGUUACAUCAGAGCGGGAGCCGGCUCGCCGCUGCAGGGAUGGACGUCUCAGAAUCUGAAUUUUCAAAGUAAAAUUCAAGAGACAAGUAUAAAGACUACACUUGGUGAUGCCACCCUUCUUCUACCACACACGCAAGAUGACAGACUUGGUAAAUUGUCACAAGCACGGCAGAAAUCAACAAGGAAUAACCAUAAACUAAACCCGAAUCUAUAAAAUCAUAACAUAAAAGUUGUUAUGUACUGGACCAUCCUGAAGAUAUUUCCAGAUGCUAAACCUUGGAAGGAACAUAGCCUGCUCCCUUGCAGGCUCACACUGUUGCCCUCCGCCUGCCUGCCUGUCUGCCUCUCUCCCCCCCAUCCUUCCUCCCUCUCUCUGUACUAUACAUGUAUCUUCUAUAGCUACGUAGUCAGGUGUCACGUAACAACGUUUUGGUCAAUGACAGCAACAAACCAUAUAUCUGAUGGUGGUCCCAUUAAGAUUAUAAUGGAGUAGAAAAACCCCUAUCACCCAAUGAAGUAGCUGUCAUAAUGUCCGAGCACAAUGCAGUACUCGUGUUUGUGGUGACUGUGGUAUAAACAAACCUAUUGCAUUGCCAGUACAACACAUACAAUUCGGUAGAGUGUAUAAUACUUGAUAAGGAUAAUAAAUGACUGUGUUAUUGAUUUAUGUAUUUGCUUACCUUAUACUUUUUAUUAGAGCGUACUUAUAAAAACAUUGGCUGUAAAACAGUCUUA
Artibeus jamaicensis (Jamaican fruit-eating bat) is the source of this 740-nucleotide long non-coding RNA. RefSeq lists it as uncharacterized. The record is from RefSeq and is a predicted model, not a curated record. The transcript is spliced from 3 exons. Lineage: Eukaryota; Metazoa; Chordata; Mammalia; Chiroptera; Phyllostomidae.